GCAUGCGCAAUGGCCGACCCCUAUUAGGUUCACCUGUGCCCGUCAAAAUGUUUGCCAAAGAGAAACCGGAUAAGGUAAACCCUCUACCAUGCCCCUAAAGUCCCCAAAAGACAAUAGCGCGUUGCUGUUGCACCAGAAGAAACUUUAAAGACAGAGGUGGAUGCAAAAAGUAAAGAAAAUAAGAGUUAGAAGGUAAAAUAGUGCACAGGUGUUACUGCAGUGUUGAAGGGCACACUGCUGUGGACAAAAACACUGCUGCCUAGGCAUGAACGCUUUCUUGCUCGUCUUCGCUCGUGGAUAUCAUGGGACUCAACGACGCCUCCAGUUCUCUGUGAAGUUUAUACCGCAGAAACAUGUUGAGUACAUACCAAUGAGACAUGCUUUACAGCAGAUGGACAACAAGUUGCAUAGCCAGGGGACCAGCUAACCUUGGAGAGAAAAAUUAACAUUACCUGCAAGUCGUCAUUGUGCUAUCAGAGAUGGUUAAACACCUACACUCACUGCCUACAGCAACUCUAAAGGACAGCUGAAGAGAAACAGGAAACAUGGGGUGGAGGGAGCAGAGAAAGACAUGCAGCAAAGCGUCAUGGCAAGAAUCGAACCAGUGGACACUGCGUCAAGGACUAAAGGCUCUGUACAUGGGGCACUUAAACGGCUAGGCCAAAGGGCAUCCCCUUUCAAACCCCUGAUUCUGACAGUUUAGGGUUCAUAUAAAUAUAUUGAGGCAUUUUGAGCAUGUGCUACUUAAUUCCCUGCAUCAUAGUGAAUAUUUUUGUGACCGUUUGUUACAUUCUAGUGUGAACUUGUGUAGCACACUGAUAAUAAAAAUUAAGACACAGCAAGAG
Long non-coding RNA from Notolabrus celidotus (New Zealand spotty), 845 nucleotides. RefSeq lists it as uncharacterized. The record is from RefSeq and is a predicted model, not a curated record. The transcript has 2 exons. NCBI's taxonomy places the organism in Eukaryota, Metazoa, Chordata, Actinopteri, Labriformes, Labridae.